CAAGGUAGAGCGUGCUGAGAGAGGGAGGAGGGAGCAGGGGGCUGAGCUGAUCCCACGUGUGACGCUUUCAUUCCCGGCUCAGUAAUAUUCUCAUAGCGGGGCUUUGCAUAUCUCCUGCCGUAUCUGUGUGUGUCUGUCACUGUUACUGUAGUCCCAGCCUAUAGUUUGAAAUAGAUAUGGAAGGAGACGGGAGUCAAGCCACAUCCGGAAGCCUAAAUGAUUCACAACAUGACCCGGGUAAAAUGUUUAUCGGUGGCCUCAGCUGGCAAACCUCACCAGACAGCCUUAGAGACUAUUUUAGUAAAUUCGGAGAAAUAAGAGAAUGUAUGGUGAUGAGAGAUCCCACGACAAAACGCUCAAGAGGAUUUGGGUUCGUUACGUUUACAGAUGCUGCCAGUGUAGAUAAAGUCUUAGCUCAACAACACCACGAAUUAGACUCAAAGACGAUUGAUCCUAAGGUUGCCUUUCCACGUCGCGCCCAGCCUAAGAUGGUCACAAGAACAAAGAAAAUAUUUGUGGGUGGCUUGUCAGCCAAUACAGUAGUGGAAGAUGUGAAGCAGUAUUUUGAACAGUUUGGGAAGGUUGAUGAUGCCAUGCUAAUGUUUGAUAAGACUACUAACAGACAUAGAGGAUUUGGCUUCAUAACUUUUGAGAGUGAAGACAUCGUAGAGAAAGUCUGUGAAAUUCAUUUUCAUGAAAUCAAUAACAAAAUGGUAGAAUGUAAGAAGGCCCAGCCCAAGGAGGUGAUGUUCCCACCAGGUACACGAGGGCGAGCCAGGGGUCUGCCCUACACCAUGGAUGCCUUCAUGCUGGGAAUGGGGAUGCUGAGCUAUCCUAAUAUUGUGGCAACGUAUGGCCGUGGAUACACUGGAUUCGCACCAAGCUACAGCUACCAGUUCCCUGGCUUCCCAGCGACGGCAUACGGACCGGUGGCGGCAGCGGCAGUAGCAGCAGCGCGUGGCUCAGGUAGGGGGGCCCGUGGAAGAGGCGGCUACUUGGCGUACCCACAGAGCACAGGGCCAGGCCUCCCCGAUUAUGGGUUUUACUCUACGCCCAGUGACCAGAGGGGGGGGCCCUGCUCCUUUGCUGACUAUGGCUCCCUGGGGCCCCAAGCGGCUCAGAUGCUGCACAGUGAGCAUGCCACCUCCGCCUGCAACUCCCCCCUCCAGCACCUACACAGCCCGGAUCAAUUUAAGAACCCAGGCGGCAACCCAUCAAGGCCCGGAGGUUUCCCUGGUGCUAACAGUCCAGGGCCUGUUGCUGACCUGUACGGACCUAGCAGCCAGGAUUCAGCUGUGGGCAACUACAUCAGUGCUGCUAGCCCUCAGCCUGGCUCUGGGUUUGGCCCAAGCAUCACAGGCCCGUUGAUUGCGACAGCUUUUACAAAUGGAUACCAUUGAACAGGUGGCCGGUUGCCAUCUCAUCAGAGAUGACAGAGCUGGUAGUAAAGGAGUAUAACUGGUGGCCCAGGAAAGACAGGACGAAGUUUCUAAUUGGCUUUGUGUGCAGGUGAUGCUAUCCAACUUCAAGCACUACAGUGUCACCCAGGCAAAAAGAACGAAAGACGGAACCAUAUGAAGAAGAAAAGAAAAACGUUAGUCAUCUCAGAAAAAUAACAACUGCUGUACUAUAAUCCAAACCUACUAUAACUUUACAACCUGGUUUGGUAUGAUGUUUCACGUCGAUUUCAUUCACCAAUUUCCUUCCUCUGUUAGCUUUUGUUUUGAUUCGUUUUUAGAGAGUCAUUUUAGUUUUAAUCUUAAUUUGUGUCAUCUUAUUUGAUCUUAUAGUAAUUUUGUGUAAAUGGAUUUUGUUUGAAGUGCGGGGGUCAUAGCCAAGAAUAUCUGCAAGUCAUGUCUUCAUCUUUGUGGUGUAAAGAAGAAAUGAUUGGAUGUUCCAAUCAGUCUUUCCACAAAAAUAAAAGAAGCUCAGUGUGGAGAGACUCGGAGAAAAAAAAAGAAAAAUUUAAAGAGGGUAUCUAAGUAAUAAAUCUUAGUAGCUGUUUUCUUUCUUGUGAAGUCUCAUUGUUAGCCAUAAUUACCUAUUUUUGGGCAAUACAAAGAGGACUCCAAUAUUUUUAUGGUCCUUUUUUAUAAGUGUUGUUUUUGUUGUUUAGAAAUAAAUAUAUAUGGUAUAACAAAUUUCAUAUAACUACAUUGUGAAUUCAAACUUGAGAAAAAGAAAUGUAGCUGUACAUAUUAUUCCAGUCACUGCAUAUAACCAACUCAGUGAGAGAAUAGCAUAUUUUUGUGAUGGUGUGUCAAAAGAACAUGUUAUAGAGUGUGAAUAGAAGAAAAAGCUGUAAACCGUUAUUAUUAUACUUUUUCUGCUGGAAGACAGUAUAAAUGACCCCAGAGACAAACAGAACACACUUGCUCUGUAAAUACUGAAGCUGAAUCAUUUUACAAGUGUCAUACCAGCAAAUUUACAAACGGUGAGUCAGUUCAACACAGUUUUAAGAAAUAAAAAAAAAAAGAGCCUGAUUGGUAUCUUUUGUCUAACUGUUAAGAUAUCAGUAUCAUUUCAAAGAGAGAGAGAAACAAAAAGAAGAUUUAAUCCAAAGCACACUGUACUUAGAUGUGAAGAUUAGAACUUGAACCAGGCAUUUCACAGUGCUCUGUGCAUCCUGACACUUUUAUACUCCUGAGAGGAACUUGUUAGUUGUAUGUUAUUGUUUGUUUCAUCCUGCUUGUUCCUGAUUCGUUUUUUUGGAACACAAUUAUCUGGGCUCUGUGCUAGAGCCUUUAUGUAAUGCUUGUUCUCUGAAUCCGUUCUUUUAUGAAUGAAUUAGGAAAAGUAAACAUUUUGAUACCAUACCUCAGCCUUUGUGAGUUCUAUUGUGGAUGCAUUGGCAGGUUUAAUUUAUUCUAGUGGCAAAAUAAAUGAAAACACUGAAAGGUAAUAAAGCGAGGAAUCAUAAAUGCACUGUGAGUAGUAAAGUACAGGCCAUUUUCCUAUUUGCACAUGUAUAUGUCGGCUUUUUAAAAAAAUAAAAAAAAAACGGCCCUGUGCUUUAGGAUAGUGUGAAGGAUUUUUGGGUUAAUGUAUUCUCAAAUAGACAAAAGCUUCAGAGUUUUGAGGUGAGUUAACAGCUUGGGAAGUAGUAACUGAUAUGUUGCAGUGUACACUUGGAUCUCUUUAUAUAUUAGAGCUAUGUCUCAUCUAAAGAUAUUUAUACAGGGUUAAAAUAUGACACUGAAAUAGUCACUCUCUGUCGCUGCACCAAGUUUUACACAUGUGUGUGGUAAUGAUUUAACUCAUGACAAACAUUUAAUAAUAAUAUGCUCCAGUUGGGUUUUUAAAGUCAUUAAUUGAAUGAAUGGUGUGUUUUCUGAAGUACUUUACCUGCUGCAGGUGUAUUUGUUGUCGUUUUACCCACUUUUUGUCUCAUUUUAUUUUUGUUUCAAAACAACCAGGUAAAGAAAUAUGCUGGAUACUUCUAAAGUAAAUGAUAUGGAGGUGUGAUCAAGUAAUAAUUUAAAGAGAAAAAAAACCCUUGUAAUGUUCAAAUGUAAAAGAAAAUAAGAAAUACAAAUCUAUAAAAAAAAGAGAAAAAAGAAAGAUGCUUCUUUGCUGAUUUCAAGUUUAAUCAGAGUUUUAUUGAUACUUUGUGGUUUAUAUAUUAAUAAUUGUAAUAUACUAUUAAAAUGUACUGUGCAUCCAUUGCUUUCUCUCUUUCCAUUCCCCAUCCUCAGAGAUCCUCCUUCUUUUGUUGAUCAUUCAUGUAUUUCAUUAGUGUGUAAAGAAAUCACAGUUAACUUGUAAACAGAGUGCUGUCUUUGAUACCAGUGUAGUGGUCUUUGUUGUUCUCCCUUGCUCUACCUCUCCUUUCUCUCAUAUUUAACCCUGUCCCUCUCGCGCUCUUUUUCUAUCUCCUGUAAUUACAAAGUAGAUGUUAUAUAGGACUCAUUAAUAUAAUACUUGUAGUGAAUAGAGGAUUUAGGACCAGUCAAGAUAGACCUUUCUCUCAAUGAUCAUGUCAUUCUGAUAUUUGCAGACCAUUAUUUUGAUAGAGGUUCAUUGUAAUUUAUUCCCUGUAUGUUUUAUUUUUUUGUUUGGUUUUGCCACUCUCACAUGGUUUCAGCUAACCAAAGCUCUCAUGGAUGAACGAAAGAGAAGCCGUUGCCGUAAGAUGGAAUUGUACACAAGGCAUUAUUUGGAUCCCCACCCUUGAAUGUUUUAAAAGGGGUGUGCCAUACUACCUUAAAUGCUAACGCUAGAUAUGCAAAACUGUUAUUAUUUGAUUCUCUUUUAAGAGGGACACAAGCUAUAGUCAUGGACAAAGAUUUUAUUAAACAAAACAAAAAAUUCAUAUUGUUUUAUAGAAACGUACCAAUGAUUACCACACUAGUCGUAAUAUCAGUCAUAGUGCUAUAUCUUUUGAUGUUUUUACACUUUGGAAAUAUCCCAAAUGCCACUGGCAUAGGUAUUUUUAAAUAAUACUGUUUUUGAUCUCUUAUUUCUCUCAAAACUUCCAUUAAGUCUAAUCAUUUUAGUCUUAGAUUCCGGGAAUUAGGUUUUGUUUUAAUCUGUUAUCAAUGUUGUUCACACAUAUUGCAUUACAGUGGCGUAUAAGAGACUGUAAAAAUGAAAAGCCCUCCUGCAAAGACCUCUGGCUCCAAAGGAUUAUAUGAGCUGAUUAAUAGAAUAGAUCAAACUCAUGUCCUGAUGUUGGACCAGCAACGCUGUGAUUCAUUGCUAACCUAAAUCAGAGAAAGCAAAGAAAAAAGAUUAGAUCAAAAAUAAAAGCUCAAAGUUUCGUCAAAAUACCAUGUCAAAGGAUGUCCAGAAUUCAGAUCUGUUAGAAUUACACAAGCAGCUGUGUUCAAGCAAGAAAAUACAAGCCUAUUAUAAAGCCUCAAGCUGGGCACACAGUUAGGUUUUUGAAUGUAAUCUCAAUUAAACAUAAUUUAGGUUCCAUUACAGUCAUUUCAUUUAUUUCACCUCAUGAGGUCUUAAGAUUUAAUAUUGUCAAAUUAAUAACAUUAGUGUCUAUUCAUAUUUCGCAUCCAGUAUAGACUGUCAAAUUACAUACAGUAUAUACAGUAAUGACAGCUUUGUUAGACACAAUAUUCCAAUAAAUCCAGCAAGUAUAUGGGACAUUGUGUUAUUUAAAAAAAGACAAUGUCCACAUAUAAUGCAAGUCAAAUAUUAAACUUAAUUGUAAAAUUAUGCUUAAUCAAUCACAUUGGACAAUACAGGACAAGUUUUGUAUUUUAAAAACUAAAAUACCUGUUCCAAGUAUAAAAGCUUAUUGUUUGCCUCAUUUGCACAUUUUAGUGUCAGAAAAUAUCUCAACAGUAGAAAAACAAUAAAUAUAAUAGGAGAUGUUAAAUGCACCAACUUUUGUGUAAAGAUAAAAGAAAGUGUUCCUCCUGUUCAUUUGCAGCAUGUCCCUUUUUUCAUCUGAAUAUUUUAUCAAAUAAAGUAUAACUCAAACACUUACAAACCAAUACAAGAAGCUCAUUAGGAGCUGUAGUUGAUUACAAUUAUGCGGUCAUAUUUAGUUUUUCUCACUGUUGCAGCACCUUGUGGCUAAAAGACUACAAUGAAAUUGUUCAUUUCCCACCUCACACAAUAUAAAAAUGGAUUCUUUUAUCGUUUUGUGAUCCUGUAGCUUGGACUUUAAGGUAGCAUGGCUCUGUUGCUGUAAUUUCAUUUUAUCUCAAACUGACAGCAGUUUACAGCUGAUGAAUGUUACACAUCUUAGUAGACUAGUGUAUCCAUUUGGGGAGAGAGAAGGGGUCUUGGUUUAAGAAAAAAAAAUUAUCAAAAAAGGAAAAAAGUCAACCUGGAAGGUGUUGACAUUUGUAGUGUACUACCGUAUCCAUUUAAACUUGAAUCUUGAGGCAAGUGCUAGGCAAUGGCCAAACAAUUUAUCCCAUCCGCUGUAGGAAAGCCACCCCCUGAAACCACACACACUUAUGAGAUUUCUGUCAUCUUGGAUUCAAAUCUGUUCUAUGGAUAAGAACAACUGUCUCUAAAGCUGGGACAUCAGACGAAGGCUGGUUCAGGCUCUGCUCCAUUUCCAAUUAAUUAGACUGACUUUGAAGGCUUAUUGAACAUUCCUGAGCAUUUAUACCCAAAAGAGGCUUAUUCAUAGUGGUGCUAAUGGUUUUAAACCAGACAAUGUGCCCUUAUCUCAUGAGAGAUACUGGAUACCGUCACAGUGACCACAAAGUUAGUCUCCCAGUCCACAAAGUGACUCUCACUCUAACAUCACCAUUUCUAGUGUCACAUCUCUUUUUUUCAGAAUAUAUGAUCACAAAUCUAGACUGAACUCCUCAAGGUGACAGAAAUAGCACAAAUGUACUGUCGUGUUUUAGGGUGAGUUUCCUUUUCAGUCCAAACCAUCGCCAUCUCACCCCAUGCUCAUUGCUAAAUAUAUAUACAUGCAGUUGCAAUAUAUAUGUGGAUAGAUGAAUAUAUAUUUGCAGUUUUCACUCACUCAACUUCGUCCGAACAAUAUUAGACUGGAGACCUCCGCUGUAUACAGAAUAUUCCUCACACAGUUACAUAUAGUCAUUAUUAGCUUAUGUUCACCAAUACGAGAGUUCACCCCUGGCGUGUUGUCGAGUUUGGAGCAGACCGCAUGGCCUAGAGGGGAGCCUGGAAGCUCUUCAGACUGCAUGGACGGCAGUGUGAGGCUCUGCUGUGCUUCCAUGUUUCUGCAGGCUGAGCACAGAGCUCUCUUCACUGCUGUCUGCCCAUUCCUAACACUUGCCCCUUUUUUUAUGUUAACCGACUUUUUAUGGCGAGAGACAGACAGACUUGACUGACAUCUGAAAGCAUCUUUCAGGUUAUCAUAUGGCUUGCUUAAGCCCUGUUGUAAAAUGUACUAAAAAAAUAAUAAUAAUGAUAAUAUUAAUGGAUGGGGGUCUCUCACAUAUCAAAUGUGGAAAGUCUAAUUUUAUAUUUGUAUUUUCAAAUAAUAAUAUUGACAAAAAAUGUCUGUGAAAGGUUUCCAUCCUCUACUGUGGUCCAGAAAUUGAUGUGUCUGUCUGGAAAAUAAAUAAAAUAAACUGAAUUGUUAUAUGA
Molecule: RNA transcript, 7038 nt
Organism: Etheostoma spectabile (orangethroat darter)
Lineage: Eukaryota; Metazoa; Chordata; Actinopteri; Perciformes; Percidae
Gene name: RNA-binding protein Musashi homolog 2
Exons: 16
Source: RefSeq, a predicted model, not a curated record